CACAGCAUGCUCUCUGGCUUCUGAGGCAGCCGUGAGAAUGCGGACAGUUUGGUGCAUGGUCUUGUACUUCUUUGGAGCAAGAGCUGAGAUAACCCAACCCUCAAGUCUGGUGCUGAAAGAAGAUGAGAAUGCUACUCUGAAAUGCAGUCAAAAUGAUAAUCAUGAUUAUAUGUCCUGGUAUCUACAGCAGCCAGGGAAGGGCCUGCAAUUAAUGUAUUAUUCAUAUGGAGAAAAUCAGGAUUAUAAGGGUGAUGUUCACACUGGUUACGAGGCUAAGAGGUUAGGCAAAGAGGACUUUCAUUUAGAUAUCGUGUCUGUAAAGAAGAACCAUUCAGCUGUCUAUUUCUGUGCCUCCAGUUUGGACACAACACUUCAAAGUCACUUCCUUUCUGUAUAUAAACUGCUCCUCUCCAGUACCCUCCCCCAGAAGGGAGUAGCUCUCAGCACAGGAUACUGGAAUGUAGGCCAGCUGGAUCUUCAUAGGGCAAAGGUUGCUGAGGAGCUGGACCAAGAGAGGUCAAGCAGGUUAAAUUUAAUUGCUGAAUUCCUCUUUUCUGAUCAGCUCUUUAUCCUCUGUCACUUUAUAACAAUCCUGACACUUUGUUAAUCAAUCCAGUUAU
Coturnix japonica (Japanese quail) is the source of this 620-nucleotide non-coding RNA. The record is from the annotation of a RefSeq genome assembly. NCBI's taxonomy places the organism in Eukaryota, Metazoa, Chordata, Aves, Galliformes, Phasianidae.